UUAAUGAUAUUAUUUGAUUAAAUUUAAUUAAUUUAAUUAAUUAUUUUAGAAUAAAAAUCAUUAAUUAAAAUUAAAUUAUCAAUUACUAUGUUUAUUUAUUUUAUAACCAAAAUUUAUUAAAUAAAUUUAUAUACUAGAUUAAUUUAUCUUAAUUUAGUAUCGAUAUAACUUAUGUUUUACAUUUCUUUCUCCAAGUUUUGUAGAAUAUUCAACAUACUAAACAAAGAGAAAUUACUACUUUCUCAGCUUAAAGUUCAUAAUAAUUAAGAAGUUAGAGUAGAAAUUUUCAUGGAUUUAAAGCAAUGCUAUUAAAUAAAGUAUUUUCAUAGAUAUAGUAUUUAGCACACAUAGGAGUUAUAUAAUUUUUCUAAAUUUAGUAAAAAAAGG
RNAcentral lists this long non-coding RNA (387 nucleotides) under Physcomitrium patens. Its description in RNAcentral is "long non-coding RNA (PPAT_LNC002148)". Lineage: Eukaryota; Viridiplantae; Streptophyta; Bryopsida; Funariales; Funariaceae. The record is from RNAcentral.